AAGUCGUAACAAGGUUUCCGUAGGUGGCACGUUUGCCUCCGGGAGCCCGCAGCGACUCUAAACAAGUGCCCGAGUCGACCCCCUUCCGGGGAAGGCAACGCUGUUACUCUGCACUGGGAGCCCCUUCGGGGGCAACCAGCGGCCCCUCCGGGGCUCACAGAUCAAACGACGGCGGCCACCCGCUCGCGGUGGUUCUGAUAUGACCGGCCUCGGCUAUCGCUAGCUGUGGAAUUUGCGGAACUUGCGGAAGGAUCAUUAAUGAGAAACGGUUUCGCGGCCGUGGGGGCUUCGGCUCCGACUCACACCCUUUGUUAUUUGCCACUGUUGCUUUGGCGGGCCUGGGGUCUAACCCUGCCGGUGUUGCUUAUUAAUAGCCAGUUCACCCGGCUCGUGCUUCGCAGAGGCCCAAUCAAUUCUGUUUAUCAGUGUCGUCCGAGUAAAAUUUAGUCAUUAAA
Molecule: unclassified non-coding RNA, 455 nt
Filed under: plant metagenome
Description: partial contains small subunit ribosomal RNA and internal transcribed spacer 1
Source: RNAcentral